RNAcentral lists this ribosomal RNA (309 nucleotides) under uncultured Pseudomonadota bacterium. RNAcentral's name for it is "bacterial SSU rRNA". It matches the Rfam family "Bacterial small subunit ribosomal RNA", at positions 28 to 351 of the family's 1533-position model. Lineage: Bacteria; Pseudomonadati; Pseudomonadota. The record is from RNAcentral.
GACGAACGCUGGCGGCAGGCUUAACACAUGCAAGUCGAGCGCAUUCCUUCGGGAGUGAGCGGCGGACGGGUGAGUAACGCGUGGGAACGUGCCCUCUUCUACGGAAUAGCCCAGGGAAACUUGGAUUAAUGCCGUAUACGCCCGCCGGGUCGAACCGGUUGGGAAAGAUUUAUCGGAAGGGGAUCGGCCCGCGUUGGAUUAGGUAGUUGGUGGGGUAAUGGCCUACCAAGCCGACGAUCCAUAGCUGGUUUGAGAGGAUGAUCAGCCACACUGGGACUGAGACACGGCCCAGACUCCUACGGGAGGCAG